RNAcentral lists this ribosomal RNA (507 nucleotides) under Triticum aestivum (bread wheat). RNAcentral's name for it is "partial small subunit ribosomal RNA". Lineage: Eukaryota; Viridiplantae; Streptophyta; Magnoliopsida; Poales; Poaceae. The record is from RNAcentral.
AUGAUCCGACCUAAGCGGGCAGGGGGUAUUGGGUUCAGGGAUAUGCAUCUUUUCAACAUUGCUCUCCUUGCGAAACAAGGCUAGAGACUGCUACAGAAGCCGGAUAGUCUUUGCGCGAGAGUGAUCAAGUCCAAAUACUACCCGCAUGGAAAUCUGCUUGAUACGGUGUUCGCAUCGGAUGCGUCACCUGUUUGGAGAGGCAUUGAGGCUGGCCUUGAACUGCUCAAAAAAGGCAUCAUAUGGAGAGUGGACAACGGCAAGAGCAUCCAAAGGGACCAAUGGAUUCCUCGAAGAGAGGGCCUACGGACGACAGCGUUCACUAGGCGCACGAGGCUUAGAUGGGUCAAUCAGUUAAUGUACGAGGAAAGAAAAGAGUGGAACACGGACCUCAUUAACCAAAUCUUCCAUGAUUUUGAUGCAGAAGAAAUCUGCAAGAUGCCAUACCGAAAUCAAAUGCAGUGGACAACAUCGCCUGGCACUAUGAGAAGAACGGGAUUUUCUCGGUGA